RNAcentral lists this long non-coding RNA (448 nucleotides) under Equus caballus (horse). RNAcentral's name for it is "lncRNA (ENSECAG00000059777.1)". Lineage: Eukaryota; Metazoa; Chordata; Mammalia; Perissodactyla; Equidae. The record is from RNAcentral.
GUAAUUAAAACUGUGGAAAGCAAAACCAUGGAUAAGGGGGGACUACUGUAUAGCCUGCUGGGUGGGUGGUCUGAAAAUGAUGCUCUCAUGAGCGGUGAUGAGUUGGAUCUGCCGCUCCAGUAGUAGAGAUAGAGGAGAAGUAGAAUGAGUUCCAAAUUGGGGAAGAUGUCUAUGGAGCAGGAUCACUGAGUCCCUACAACCUGCACCUCCUCCCACCCCAACUAGGUCCUAAGACUCAGUGCAUCAGAGUCCGAGUGAUAAUUGUUAAGCGUGUCUAUGCCGGGCUGGGGCCUCCUCAGAAUGUUCCGUUAUGAUUUACAGUCAGCGCUUGUGGACACCUGCGACCAGAAUUCCUUUCCAUGAGCUUGAGCAUGCACCUGCCUCCUCCUCAAAGCUAUAAAUGUGUUACAUCAACAUUCCUUAAAGGGGAAAUAAAAGGUGAUCCUUU